AAAUCUUCCAAGUGAACCAAGUUCUGAAUUCUGCUCUAUUGGCCCACAGAAGGUACUGGGGAGGCCACCCUGCUGUUGAACUACUCCACUUAACCUCUUCAAGUAUAGCCUAAAUUUCUGAUUUUCCUGCAGAUGGCUUGCCACAUUUUCUCUUGUCAAACCAGGAACAUUCAUCAGUUCAAGGAUUCUCUUAGGUACAGCCUUAUCAAUGCCAAGUUGGUUGACUGCACUAACAAAUUGCUGAUGGAGCUCCACUGACCAGACCACACGUGGCUUUUUGGUAGUACUUGGGUCAU
This 296-nucleotide unclassified non-coding RNA is filed under the name Hevea brasiliensis (rubber tree). Lineage: Eukaryota; Viridiplantae; Streptophyta; Magnoliopsida; Malpighiales; Euphorbiaceae. The record is from RNAcentral.